Cataglyphis hispanica is the source of this 1283-nucleotide long non-coding RNA. RefSeq lists it as uncharacterized. The record is from RefSeq and is a predicted model, not a curated record. NCBI's taxonomy places the organism in Eukaryota, Metazoa, Arthropoda, Insecta, Hymenoptera, Formicidae. The transcript is spliced from 3 exons.
GAUUAUUAGCCUUGGCGAGUGGCUUGUGAACCCCUUUCCGCGUUUUCGCUAAUUAGUAGUCGUCGAAUGUCCGUUACGUGUAGACGAAAAAACGAAUUCCGGGCGUGUGGAGGAAAAUAUCAGAGACUAUCACCGUUAUAUUCACAUCGAGAUACAUAUUUCGCGGAUUAAGCUGAUCGAUAUUUAAUCGAUAUGUGAAUAUCGCGGAGGCUCAUCGGAUUACGAGUGCCUUGGCGAGUGACGUGUGAACCUUUUCCUGCAUUUUUGCAAGUUAUCGAGUGUCCGCCAUUACGCGUAGAUGAAUUCCGGGAGUGUGGAGGAAAGUAUCGGGCACGAUAUCAUCGUCGCGUCCUUUUCACGUCGAGAAUAAGUAUCUCGCGAUUGUGCGAUCGAUAUUUGAUCGAUACGUGAAUGGCGGUUAGCGGAGACUUCCUUUGGCGUCUCUGUUCGACGAGCGUCGUAAUCGUCGUUGCCGUGCGAAUUCUCUGCGUCCGUUAGUUUUCGAAUGACGAUCGUCUCGUACGAUUACGCGAGUGUAAAUAUGACGAGGACGAAUCACUAUCGCAGUUACGGCACCGUCAGUCAUCGCGAAUGAUAAUCGUGUAGCCGCGAAUCGCGGGAGUGCCGAGAAAAAGUAACGGGCGUGAAAAAGUAUAUCGCGAUUGUAACGUACGUAUUUGAAUCUAAAGUGCCGCGAGUAAUGGCGAAUAACAUGUUACAACGGAUCCUCGCCGCGUAUAGAUGUCGUGUCGGGAGUGCUAAAUAAAAGUCGGACGAUUAUUUCGAUUAAUGCGAGCGUGUAACAGUGAACGAAUGUCGCGAGAGAAAGUACAAUAUAAAUAUAUCGGGAGUGCCGGAAAAAGAGUAUCGCGGCAUACUUGACUAAUAUCACGACUGUGAGUGAUAAUUAAUGAACUAUCCAAUGAACUAAUUCAAUUAAAUAUAUGAUGGAUCGUCAAUAAUCAGUUUCGGACAGAAAGGCCAAUGAAUCGGAUGACGAGAAGGAAACGACAGGACUCACCGAUUGAUAUUUCUGAAAGGGAAGGGAACGGGAAGGCGCCCUGUAAUGUCGUCCUGUGCGGGAGGUACAACUCUAUCGUCCUCGACAACUUUUUAAUGGUGAAACACUCUUCCGCGGAUAAAACUUGGCUAUCUCGUAUGCUGCGAAACCAAUUGACGAUGAGCACUCGAUAGGAAUACGCUCCACCACCUCGUCCGCAAAUGCAGCUGCCUACUCAAACUGUCCUCUCGCCCGCACGUGCGCAACCCGGCUGCAUCCGUAA